GAGUUUGAUCAUGGCUCAGAUUGAACGCUGGCGGCAUGCCUUACACAUGCAAGUCGAACGGCAGCAUGAUCUAGCUUGCUAGAUUGAUGGCGAGUGGCGAACGGGUGAGUAAUACAUCGGAACGUGCCCUGUAGUGGGGGAUAACUAGUCGAAAGAUUAGCUAAUGCCGCAUACGACCUGAGGGUGAAAGUGGGGACCGCAAGGCCUCAUGCUAUAGGAGCGGCCGAUGUCUGAUUAGCUAGUUGGUGGGGUAAAGGCCCACCAAGGCGACGAUCAGUAGCUGGUCUGAGAGGACGAUCAGCCACACUGGGACUGAGACACGGCCCAGACUCCUACGGGAGGCAGCAGUGGGGAAUUUUGGACAAUGGGCGAAAGCCUGAUCCAGCAAUGCCGCGUGUGUG
RNAcentral lists this ribosomal RNA (401 nucleotides) under uncultured microorganism. RNAcentral describes it as "bacterial SSU rRNA". It matches the Rfam family "Bacterial small subunit ribosomal RNA", at positions 9 to 407 of the family's 1533-position model. The record is from RNAcentral.